This 1472-nucleotide long non-coding RNA is filed under the name Panax ginseng (ginseng). Its description in RNAcentral is "long non-coding RNA (PGIN_LNC002068)". The record is from RNAcentral. Lineage: Eukaryota; Viridiplantae; Streptophyta; Magnoliopsida; Apiales; Araliaceae.
UAGUUUGUUUUUUUAUCAAUCUCAGUAUUUCCCUCUCUCUUCAUCCUCACAAAUUUUAACUAAUUAAUUAAGUUAAGAAUCAAUGGCAACAAAUGUGAGUAGUUCUUUGAUGAACGGCGGCGGCCGUUGCCGGAGUUUUUCUAAGAGUUACGACGUUGUUGGCAGACGUCGGCCAAUACCGAGAAGGGGACAAGUAAAGGUCGGAAUUGUCUUAGGCCUUGCUCAAAUUUUGGCUUCAGCUUUUUCUCCUACUACUCGUACCAAAUCUGCCCCUUUUGCACAACCAUUUUGAUUAUUUUUUUUGUUUAUUCUUUUUUAUAAAAAAUUUGGGAGAGAUAUUAGUUGAAGAAAGUAGCUAGUAGCUAGUAGCUAGUAGAGCCUAGAGACUUUUGAAUGUGUUGUAUAAAUAUUUUGUUAAGUAUAAUUAAGCCCUAUGAUCAUUUAUUUGUAUCUAAGAGGCUAGUUGUUAUGAAUGUGUUGUAUAUUUAUUAUAGUAUAAUUUAUUUGAAUCUAGAGACUAGUUGUUAAGUAUAAUUAAGCCCUUUGAUCAUUUAGUUGUAUCUAAGAGGCUAGUUGUUCUGAAUAUUUUGUAUAAAUGUUUCUUUUCAUGUAAUUUUUAUCAAAGUCUAUCCGACACUAUAAAUUGGUAACAAUAGUGUUCUCGUUGAGAGCUCAUACUUGCAAGUUGGGACUUGUAAAUGGGGGAUCUGUGGAAAGGGCUAUUUAGAGGCCGAAUUAAAAUAUUCAUACUGAGUUAGUGUCGUUAGUAUGAAACCGCUAUAGCUGGGUGGGCUGACGAGAACGUCGGCUUUGCAAGGGGUGUGUAUUGAUACGAACUCUAUACUAAAUCAUAGGAAAUAAUGUCACGUCGGUUUACAAAGCAAAAGAACAAUAUUAUCCCACCUGUUGACAACCACCUUUUCCUCAAGGUGUAAUUUAAGAGUAUUUAUGCAUGUUUCAACUUUGGUUAGCACAAAUAUCCCCCCUUGAUCAGCAUUGUAUCCAAAGAAUUUAUACAUUUCUACCCGCCCUAUGUAGCUUGAUUAUACUCUAACUAUGCUACUAUAUUAUUUUCACUUUCAACAUUCGUAUUGAAGCCAGAAUGUGUUACAGCACCUUGAGAGAAUGAAUAUGUAUUGUUAAAUGCAAGUAGAUCAUAAGGUGUCACCUCAAUGCUUUCCUUUAUAUAGUGACAAAACAAAAUUUGUUGAAGCAAAACCAUGAAGUUGAUCACAGACGUUCUGCAUGGGAAAGUCUCUUGAAGCAUUGACAUGGGUCACAACAUCACCCCAGUUAUCCCACUCUUCUUCAAUAAGUGUUGGAAGCUAAUUUCUCAACAGAAUUUUCACAUAUACGAAUCUUCAAUAACCAUCCAAAACUUGCCAAUAAAUUCCCGUUGCAGACGAAGGCAAUCACAUGCUUGUCUUUAGUAGCCUGCUCAUGCCUAAGAGCUAAUUGCAUCUGGAUCCAGG